AGGUAGAGCAGGAGAGGACGUCGAAUCGAAUUGUCAAUGAAUGCUCACUCUACAACAAAAUUAAAAUUAAAAAGAAGUUCCACAGCCAGGUGAAGUCUGAGCUUUUGCAGUGCUGUCUAUCAUGCUCGUGGUCUCGUUGCAACCAGCUGGUGAAUGGUGUGGUGAGCUACUUCCAUGCAGUCUGUGGGGCUGACCUUGAUUGCAGGUAACUUUUAUAACACAGAACUUCACUUCAGCCAUCCAAUCCAGUUCUUGCAUCCAAUUGUGUAGACUGCACAGAACUCUCAUUUAUAGCUUUGCUGUGAAUUUCAUCAACAUGUCUAAUAACUGAAGUCCAACAAGGUCUUAUCUUAUUUAGUUUGUUUUAAAAAUUUGACAUGACAAAAAAGAAUUUUAG
RNAcentral lists this long non-coding RNA (397 nucleotides) under Daphnia pulicaria. Its description in RNAcentral is "uncharacterized LOC124342972, transcript variant X1". The record is from RNAcentral. Lineage: Eukaryota; Metazoa; Arthropoda; Branchiopoda; Diplostraca; Daphniidae.